AUUGAACGCUGGCGGCAGGCUUAACACAUGCAAGUCGAACGAUGAUUAUCUAGCUUGCUAGAUAUGAUUAGUGGCGGACGGGUGAGUAACAUUUAGGAAUCUGCCUAGUAGUGGGGGAUAGCUCGGGGAAACUCGAAUUAAUACCGCAUACGACCUACGGGUGAAAGGGGGCGCAAGCUCUUGCUAUUAGAUGAGCCUAAAUCAGAUUAGCUAGUUGGUGGGGUAAAGGCCCACCAAGGCGACGAUCUGUAACUGGUCUGAGAGGAUGAUCAGUCACACCGGAACUGAGACACGGUCCGGACUCCUACGGGAGGCAGCAGUGGGGAAUAUUGGACAAUGGGGGCAACCCUGAUCCAGCCAUGCCGUGUGUGUGAAGAAGGCCUUUUGGUUGUAAAGCACUUUAAGCAGGGAGGAGAGGCUAAUGGUUAAUACCCAUUAGAUUAGACGUUACCUGCAGAAUAAGCACCGGCUAACUCUGUGCCAGCAGCCGCGGUAAUACAGAGGGUGCGAGCGUUAAUCGGAAUUACUGGGCGUAAAGCGAGUGUAGGUGGCUCAUUAAGUCACAUGUGAAAUCCCCGGGCUUAACCUGGGAACUGCAUGUGAUACUGGUGGUGCUAGAAUAUGUGAGAGGGAAGUAGAAUUCCAGGUGUAGCGGUGAAAUGCGUAGAGAUCUGGAGGAAUACCGAUGGCGAAGGCAGCUUCCUGGCAUAAUAUUGACACUGAGAUUCGAAAGCGUGGGUAGCAAACAGGAUUAGAUACCCUGGUAGUCCACGCCGUAAACGAUGUCUACUAGCCGUUGGGGUCCUUGAGACUUUAGUGGCGCAGUUAACGCGAUAAGUAGACCGCCUGGGGAGUACGGCCGCAAGGUUAAAACUCAAAUGAAUUGACGGGGGCCCGCACAGGCGGUGGAGCAUGUGGUUUAAUUCGAUGCAACGCGAAGAACCUUACCUGGUCUUGACAUAGUGAGAAUCCUGCAGAGAUGCGGGAGUGCCUUCGGGAAUUCACAUACAGGUGCUGCAUGGCUGUCGUCAGCUCGUGUCGUGAGAUGUUGGGUUAAGUCCCGCAACGAGCGCAACCCUCUUCCUUAUUUGCCAGCGGGUUAAGCCGGGAACUUUAAGGAUACUGCCAGUGACAAACUGGAGGAAGGCGGGGACGACGUCAAGUCAUCAUGGCCCUUACGACCAGGGCUACACACGUGCUACAAUGGUAGGUACAGAGGGUUGCUACACAGCGAUGUGAUGCUAAUCUCAAAAAGCCUAUCGUAGUCCGGAUUGGAGUCUGCGACUCGACUCCAUGAAGUCGGAAUCGCUAGUAAUCGCAGAUCAGAAUGCUGCGGUGAAUACGUUCCCGGGCCU
Molecule: ribosomal RNA, 1355 nt
Filed under: uncultured bacterium
Lineage: Bacteria
Description: bacterial SSU rRNA
Rfam family: Bacterial small subunit ribosomal RNA
Source: RNAcentral